Molecule: ribosomal RNA, 446 nt
Filed under: uncultured bacterium
Lineage: Bacteria
Description: partial 16S ribosomal RNA
Rfam family: Bacterial small subunit ribosomal RNA
Source: RNAcentral
CCUACGGGAGGCUGCAGUCGAGAAUCAUUCACAAUGGGGGAAACCCUGAUGGUGCGACGCCGCGUGGGGGAAUGAAGGUCUUCGGAUUGUAAACCCCUGUCAUGUGGGAGCAAAUUAAAAAGAUAGUACCACAAGAGGAAGAGACGGCUAACUCUGUGCCAGCAGCCGCGGUAAUACAGAGGUCUCAAGCGUUGUUCGGAAUCACUGGGCGUAAAGCGUGCGUAGGCUGUUUCGUAAGUCGUGUGUGAAAGGCGCGGGCUCAACCCGCGGACGGCACAUGAUACUGCGAGACUAGAGUAAUGGAGGGGGAGCCGGAAUUCUCGGUGUAGCGGUGAAAUGCGUAGAUAUCGGGAGGAACACUCGUGGCGAAGGCGGGUUCCUGGACAUUAACUGACGCUGAGGCACGAAGGCCAGGGGAGCGAACGGGAUUAGAUACCCUUGUAGUC